GUCGAACGAGAAGCAGGAGCUUGCUCCUGUGGAAAGUGGCGGACGCGUGAGUACAACAUAGGAAAUCUGCCUUAGGGUGGGGGACAACAGAGGGAAACUUCUGCUAAUACCCCAUAUGAGUUUGGUUGAAAUACCAAUCUUGAAAGUUCCGGCGCCCUAAGAUGAGCCUGUGCCUGAUUAGCUAGUUGGUGGUGUAAUGGACUACCAAGGCGACGAUCAGUAGCUGGUUUGAGAGGGUGAUCAGCCACAAUGGGACUGAGACACGGCCCAUACUCCUACGGGAGGCAGCAGUAGGGAAUUUUGCGCAAUGGGCGAAAGCCUGACGCAGCAACACCGCGUGAAUGUUAAGCCCUUCGGGGUGUAAAGUUCUGUCAAUAGGGACGAAUUUUGACUGUACCUAUAAAGGAAGCACCGGCUAACUCCGUGCCAGCAGCCGCGGUAAUACGGGGGGUGCAAGCGUUGUCCGGAAUCAUUGGGCGUAAAGCGUUCGUAGGCGGCAAGGUAAGUCUGAUGUUAAAGCCCGGGGCUCAACUCCGGUUCGGCAUUGGAUACUAUCU
Molecule: ribosomal RNA, 557 nt
Filed under: uncultured bacterium
Lineage: Bacteria
Description: bacterial SSU rRNA
Rfam family: Bacterial small subunit ribosomal RNA
Source: RNAcentral